GGAAUGCUCACCCUAAAUCUGACCACCGCUCAUCACCUUGCACCACCACAAAGCGACCCAAUCUCUCCUCAGCUCGGCUUCGCCUGAGAUUUCUUCAAAAGUUUAUAUCGAAAAGCCCAAAACCACAACUUUGUUUCCCCGUUCCGAUCAUUUGGCGAAGUUCCCAGUCACGUCAGUACAGCCAGAACGCUUCCCGAGCAUACAGCAGCGUUUUCUUCACAUUCUGGCGAGACUUCGGCCACAUUCCGAUAUUGCUCUGGCGAUGAACUUGACGGUAACUGCAGGUUCAAAAAAAAUUUUCUUCUCUUUCCGGGGGGGAUUGCUGAGAAAUUACUUCUAAGCAGGGAAAGGUCGUGAUUGAUAUUGCUGUUUCUCUGUUGAUAACCUUGAGAUUGAAGUUGAAUUCAGUGGAUUGUUCUUGAAUGAAAAAGAUUGCAUAGGAGACAAUCUUUGCAUUGUGAGAAAGCAGCGCUGAAAGAAAAAGACUCAAACAGAAUAAAGAAAUUAUUUGGACCUGACCAAGGAUUUCUGCUUCCAUCAUCUUGCCCUCUGCUCUGCCUCAGGUUCUUUUCACCCCAUUGGUAAUCCCAGAUCUUGCCACAUCAUGUAUUGUCUUCUUCAUAGAAGCUUUAACGGCCAACAAGUCAAGAUCAAAACCUAGCAAAUUAGAUGUCUACCUUUACAUACCCAAUAU
This 694-nucleotide unclassified non-coding RNA is filed under the name Hevea brasiliensis (rubber tree). Lineage: Eukaryota; Viridiplantae; Streptophyta; Magnoliopsida; Malpighiales; Euphorbiaceae. The record is from RNAcentral.